Molecule: long non-coding RNA, 925 nt
Filed under: Lepisosteus oculatus (spotted gar)
Lineage: Eukaryota; Metazoa; Chordata; Actinopteri; Semionotiformes; Lepisosteidae
Description: lncRNA (ENSLOCG00000021983.1)
Source: RNAcentral
UGGGCUAUGACCCUGUUACCUGGCACCGGCUCCAACACUGCUAAGCAACUGUACGGACAAAACUUUCCGUGAACUUUGAAGAAUUGCGGCUUCUCUUUUCCUUAAGAAAAGCGAGAGGACAUUUUGGGAGGGAGAAGACUAUAAUGUGAGAAAUACUCCAGAAACAGGCCCACAAAGGUAGCCCAACCCCCCUAUACUUCAUGCUUUUGGAAAAGAUAUAAAAGCCAUGGCAUCUAUCCACAAUCUGAAGACCACUUGAAGUACAGUGUUCAGGUCUUCUGCACUGCGCAACCUACCAUAGGACUGAUUUAACUGAGCUUCAAACAUGCUGUACAGGAAUACACUCAUCUUCCUCUCUCUGGCUGUUCUGCUGGUAAAAGCUGACUUUGAUUUAGAUCAGGGCUCCCAGAACUCGCAAGCAAUGUCCACAGACCAGGACUCCACGUCUGAUGAAGUUCCCACAGAAAGCAUGAAUUCCAUUUCUUCAGAUCAGCCCAAAGAUGAGUCUUACUAUUUCAAUGGAGGGGCUAAAGAUGUUAGCAGCAUAAGCUCUGAAAGUGAUGUUAGUGAACCUCUACCUAGCAACGAAAUCAACGAAGAUGGUACCAAUUCCAGCAUUGAGGAUCAGGAUGAAGACCGGAACUCUAGCAUUGACGAUGAUACAGGGAAACGCUAAAUCGGAUGAAGGGACUGCUGUUGGAUUUUCAAGGAAAGAGACAAAUGCUAGGGCCUGCAUUCUUCUGUUUUAGUUACAAAUAGAUUGUUAAACUGAUUUUGUCAAAUUUUGACUUUUAAUUUGUGAUUAUCUUCUCAUGCAUACAGUAUUUUACACUUUUUAAAAAUAAUACUUUCAAAUGGAUAAAAAAAGGAAAAUAAUAUUUCUUUCUUACAUGAUACCUUGCAUUUUUUAAUAAACUUUCCCAAG